This 602-nucleotide unclassified non-coding RNA is filed under the name Hevea brasiliensis (rubber tree). Lineage: Eukaryota; Viridiplantae; Streptophyta; Magnoliopsida; Malpighiales; Euphorbiaceae. The record is from RNAcentral.
AUAGUUUAUGGGACUAUACAAACGCUGUGAUGAAUUUUCUGUGUCGAUCCCACAUCUUGGACUGUAAUAGAACUUGCAAAUUUGAUUGGCUUAAGUACUUUGACUUUGUCAUCACUGGCAGGUCUUUUUUUCCCUUCAACCAUUUUACUUCAACUCAAAUAUACAUUAUUGGUUGUGUGUUUUGAAGACUUUCAUCUUUUAGAAAGUUUGAUUUAAUUUUGGGUUGUCCUUUUUUUUUUUCCCUUUUAAUUACUAGCUGCCCUGCCCAAACCAAAUGAAUUUUAUCAUGUUUCAAACUGUGAAAUUUUCAAUGUGGUAAUGUGAGGUGGCGUUUAAGUUAUAGAUUCACAUAACUCUUUGACUGCUAUACCUAUCUAUGCAGUGAAAAACUAGGCUUUUUCCAUGAGGAGAAUUGUGCUAAUCCUUUUGAGGUUGAACCUGAGUCGGGAAUGCUUCUCAAUACUGAUAAUGACAAUUCAAUACCUCAGGAUGUACAUCUUUGCUAGGCUUAUAUUGCUACUUAUAUGCUUUUGGUAAUUCAAUUUGUAUAUCUUAAAAAGGUGGGAAAUAGUUCACCAAAUAUAGUAUUGAAGGAAUCAAAU